GACGAACGCUGGCGGCGUGCUUAACACAUGCCAGUCGAACGGAAAGGCCCCUUUUUUGGUACUCUAGUUGCGAACGGUUGUGUAACACGUUCGUAACCUGCCCUUGACUUCGUUAUUACUUCAGUAAACUGGGGCUAAUACCGGCUAGGUAUCCUUUCUUCAUGGUGGGGGUUGGAAAGCUUCGGCGGUUUUGGAUGGACUCGCUGCUUAUCUUCUUGUUUUUGGGGUAGUUGCUUACCAAGGCUUUUACGGGUAGCCGGCCUGAGAGGGCGACCGGACAAAGUGGGACUGAGAGACGGACCAGACUGCGACGGGAGGAAGCAGUGGGGAAGAAUGAACAAUGGGCGGAAGCCUGAAGCAGAAAAGCCGCGUGCGGGAUGACGGACUUAGGGUUGUAAACAGAUUUCAGCAGGGGCGAAGCUUGUGGUGACGGUACCUGCAGAAGAAGCACCGGCUAACUACGUG
Molecule: ribosomal RNA, 465 nt
Filed under: uncultured bacterium
Lineage: Bacteria
Description: partial 16S ribosomal RNA
Rfam family: Bacterial small subunit ribosomal RNA
Source: RNAcentral